AUUGAACGCUGGCGGCAUGCUUUACACAUGCAAGUCGAGCGGCAGCGCGGGGGCAACCCUGGCGGCGAGCGGCGAACGGGUGAGUAAUGCAUCGGAACGUAUCCUCGAGUGGGGGAUAACCCAGCGAAAGUUGGGCUAAUACCGCAUGAGCUCUGAGGAGGAAAGCGGGGGACCUGCGAGGGCCUCGCGCUGGAGGAGCGGCCGAUGUCCGAUUAGCUAGUUGGUGGGGAAAAGGCUUACCAAGGCGACGAUCGGUAGCUGGUCUGAGAGGAUGAUCAGCCACACUGGGACUGAGACACGGCCCAGACUCCUACGGGAGGCAGCAGUGGGGAAUUUUGGACAAUGGGGGCAACCCUGAUCCAGCCAUGCCGCGUGAGUGAAGAAGGCCUUCGGGUUGUAAAGCUCUUUCGGACGGAACGAAAUGGGCGGGACUAAUACUCCUGUCUGAUGACGGUACCGUAAGAAGAAGCACCGGCUAACUACGUG
RNAcentral lists this ribosomal RNA (486 nucleotides) under uncultured bacterium. RNAcentral's name for it is "partial 16S ribosomal RNA". It matches the Rfam family "Bacterial small subunit ribosomal RNA", at positions 29 to 507 of the family's 1533-position model. The record is from RNAcentral.